GACGAACGCUGGCGGCGUGCUUAACACAUGCAAGUCGAGCGGUAAGGCCCUUUCGGGGUACGACGAGCGGCGAACGGGUGAGUAACACGUGGGUGACCUGCCCUCAGCUCUGGGAUAAGCCUGGGAAACUGGGUCGUAAUACCGGAUAUGACUCCAUGACGCAUGUUGUGGGGUGGAAAGCCUUGUGCGGCUGAGGAUGGGCCCGCGGCCUAUCAGCUUGUUGGUGGGGUGAUGGCCUACCAAGGCGACGACGGGUAGCCGGCCUGAGAGGGCGACCGGCCACACUGGGACUGAGACACGGCCCAGACUCCUACGGGAGGCAGCAGUGGGGAAUCUUGCGCAAUGGGCGAAAGCCUGACGCAGCGACG
RNAcentral lists this ribosomal RNA (368 nucleotides) under uncultured bacterium. RNAcentral describes it as "bacterial SSU rRNA". It matches the Rfam family "Bacterial small subunit ribosomal RNA", at positions 28 to 396 of the family's 1533-position model. The record is from RNAcentral.